UCCGUAUCAAAUCGGCACACCACCAUCUCAUCCUUUAAUAUGAAACCAAAAAUGCCGACAACAAUUGUUUUUCCGGUAACACUCUUAAUCUCAGGUUCUUUCAUUUUUUAAAUCCCUAAUUUUCUUCAAUUGUAUUUCUAACCCUCUUUAUCGUUUUUUUCAAUUCUGAAUUAGAGGCAAAAAAAAUUGGUCUGAAACCCUAACAAAUUAAUCACGUCAAUCAGGUGAGAGAUAUCUAAUUUUUUUUUGUUUCUGUUAUUGUUGUUUCAAAUGAAUUUUGAUAUAUUUUGCUGUUUUCACUUAGAUACAUGGAGUAACUUUGAUUUUGAUUUCAAGCAAAAUAUCAAUUGAAGCGGCGAUGUAUUGAAGUAACUUUGGUGAUCUUUGGAUUUUCAUGAAGGAAUGUUCAAAGGGCUUCUCAAAAAACAAGGUAGGUCUUUUGAUUUUCUAAAUCUACUGUUUAAAUAUUUUACUAUAAUAAUGAUUGUUUUUCUAACUCUAUUGAUUUCAAUAUUUGCUUUAAUUGGUGUUCCUAAUUUGUUUUCUAAUUUCAUUCAAUAUUUGCUUUAUUGUUUUCUAAUUUCCUAAUUUGAAUUUUUGUGUCAAAGAAAAAACUUUCCUUGGAUUUCAUGAGUUUUGAUUAUUUGUUUUUUCUUUGAAUUUCUGUUGAAAUUAUUAUUAUUAUUAUUAUUAUUAUUAUUAUUAUUAUUAUUAUUAUUAUUAUNNNNNNNNNNNNUUUUUUUUUUUUUUUUUUUUUUUUUUUUUGUAAAUAAGUUUUGAUUGUUGGAUAACCUCAGUUCCUAAUUUUUCUCAAUUGAUAACAACCUCUUUUUAAUUUGAUUUCAAAUUAGCAACUAAUAUAAAAUAUCCUAUCAAUUAGUUGUUACUUAUUUUACUUAAGUGGCAACCACUUUAAUUAGUUGUUCUUGAUGGCAACCACUUUAUUAUAUAUCAAUGCAUACAAAAUAAAAUCAAUUAGCCGUUUACCAAUCCCUAAUUUUAUUCCAUUCUCUUUUUUCGGCAAAAGACAAGUAACAGUGAUUUUGAAUACAAGGAAAAUCAAUUGAAGCUGCAAUGGAAGGAACCUCCAUCAAGAAGGAAACACCGUCGGAUCUGUUAUUAGCAAGGACACAUAGCAGGAACCAGUUCAAGUGAUAUUAUUAUUGUUAAUGUUUUUUUUUAUGGUGUUUUGGUUUGAUGGUGUGCUUUGUGACAGUUUUAGUUGAUGUUAGUUUUAUUGUGCUGUUAUUUAUAAGCCUAAGAAAAAUUAAGAACUCUCAAUCUCUCAUAUUUACAUGAAAAGAAAAAUCUGGUAUAAAAAAAUGUCAACCAGCUUUGGAUUAUGAAAAAAGAUGUUUCUCAUUAUUGUGUUUCAUUCAUUUUCGUAUUUCAUAUCAUUAUAUUUUAUUCCUUCAAUUUGUAAUGAUGUUGCUUCCUGCUCGACUUAGAUCUUUGCUUUAUUUUUUUGUUUUUAUGUGCAAUCAGAGGUUCUUGCUGCUCAUCAAUUUGAGGAUAAAUAAAGGUAUGCCAUGUUAACAAUCAAAACAACUAUCCAUUUUCUUUCUAACAUGAUGAGAAUUUGCUUCAUCUUUUCUCAAGGUUUUUUUGUUCCGUUCUGUUUAUUUCGAAAUAUCUUAUUUGAAUUGAGGGGAUGAAGACUAUCAAAUUGAGGGGUCAAGUUUAUGAAUUUCCAUGGAUUAGUUUUUUAUGAAACUAUAUUUAUAUGAAUUAGAUUUGCUUGAAUUAGUGUAAUGAAUAUGAAAAAAUAUGAUUAUUUUUGGAUUUUUUUUUAUUUUUUCCUGAUCAAUUUUACAAUUUUACUUUAGUUGCAUACUUUAACUAUACAUUUGGUC
Molecule: long non-coding RNA, 1853 nt
Filed under: Trifolium pratense (red clover)
Lineage: Eukaryota; Viridiplantae; Streptophyta; Magnoliopsida; Fabales; Fabaceae
Description: long non-coding RNA (TPRA_LNC010770)
Source: RNAcentral